RNAcentral lists this small RNA (27 nucleotides) under Bombyx mori (domestic silkworm). RNAcentral's name for it is "ovarian small RNA-32043". The record is from RNAcentral. Lineage: Eukaryota; Metazoa; Arthropoda; Insecta; Lepidoptera; Bombycidae.
UGACUUAGCUUUAGCCGCAAGCUUACC